AACAUCGCGCACCUGCGGGAACCUGCGGAGGGAUCAUUACUGAGUCACGUGCUCAAACAACCCUUCUGUGGACCUGAAAUAAAACCGUUGCCUCGGCGGGCGGUCCCCCCCAAACCAACCCCACGUGGUGGGUUAGGGGAGACCAGACAGUCCGGUACGCUUAAGGCGUCCGGCGCCAGCCGCUGGCCCCAAACAAUUAAACUCUAGUAAUCUUUACCUUCCGAGUUUCAAUAUUUAAAA
RNAcentral lists this unclassified non-coding RNA (240 nucleotides) under soil metagenome. Its description in RNAcentral is "partial contains 5.8S ribosomal RNA, internal transcribed spacer 2, and large subunit ribosomal RNA". The record is from RNAcentral.